This 912-nucleotide unclassified non-coding RNA is filed under the name Hevea brasiliensis (rubber tree). Lineage: Eukaryota; Viridiplantae; Streptophyta; Magnoliopsida; Malpighiales; Euphorbiaceae. The record is from RNAcentral.
UUGUGACUGAUAAUGUCAAACAAGAUAACAUAAAAAUAGAAGUCCCAAUAAUAUUAGAUACCACAAACUAAUGAUCCAUAAAUGAUGCAAAUUUCAGAGUCCAUUUAUUCAUAUCAAUUCAGUCCAGAAUCAAGUAACUAGUUGACUUACCAAAUCAACAAUGAUCAAUUGCUAAAGAAACCAAUUUUAACAAAAUUGUUAAAGAAAGAAAACCAGUAAUAGGAUCAGCUCAGAACAAAAUUAGACCAUAUCUCCUAACCGUAAAACCAUAAAUCAACAUAGAUGCAUCAAUCAAAGGACGAAAUUAACCUUGCAGCACAAAUAGCAAGCAAAAUCAGACAUUAUUAUCCGAAACUGAGAAAUAUAAGAUUAAACAUAGCCAAAAUCCAGGUUCACAUGAAGUAAAACCGCUAACAAUAAUAACAGUAAUAUCAAAAAACCUCUUAGAACAGAAAGCAUCCUAUCAUUGAAUAUUUAGAAACGACAAACUUCACCACUUAAAAGUUUCAAAAUUAAUCAACACUCUGCAUAAUAUCCUCAGCUGUGAACUUGGUUCCCUUGUCCUUGUCAGCGGCGGCACGACCCUUGGCCUUGCGGUCAAGCAGAGACUUGCGGUCCUUGUCAAGGCGGAGCUUGGUGAUGACAACCUUUGAAGGGUUGAUUCCGACGUUGACAGUGGAGCCAUUCACCUUCUCCCUGGUGAUGCGCUCAAUGUGGAUGACCCACUUGCGACGGUAGACCUGGACAACCUUUCCCUCGCGACCCUUGAAUGUGCCACGCACAAUCUGCACCUCGUCGUCUUUGCGUACCGGCAUAGAUCGGACGUUGUACUUCUGACGGAGGUCAGUGGAGAGAGGUGCGCUCAUGAGGAUCCGGCGAACGGAGGAGGGGGCCGUGAAAUGGGCCUUCCGA